Molecule: ribosomal RNA, 407 nt
Filed under: uncultured bacterium
Lineage: Bacteria
Description: partial 16S ribosomal RNA
Rfam family: Bacterial small subunit ribosomal RNA
Source: RNAcentral
GACGAACGCUGGCGGCGUGCCUAAUACAUGCAAGUAGGACGCAGUUGCGAACGUGUGAUUAACGCGUAGGUAACUACCUAUUAGAGGGGGAUAACUAUUGGAAACGAUAGCUAAUACCGCAUACUAGUAGAUGGACCUGCGUUGUAUUAUCUAGUAGGUAGGGUAAAGGCCUACCUAGGCAACGGUACAUAGCCGACCUGGGAGGGGGAUCGGGCAAAAUGGGACUGGGACAAGGCCCAGACUCCUACGGGAGGGAGCAGUAGGGAAUCUUCGGCAAUGGGGGGCACCCUGACCGCGCAACGCCGCGUGGUUGAAGAAGGGUUUCGGAUCGUAAAGCUCUGUUGUUAAGGAAGCGGUACUUAACCAGAAAGGGCCGGCUAACUACGUGCCAGCAGCCGCGGUAAUUC